AAAAAGUUCUAACAUCGUCUGGAGCAAACUCGGAGAAAAAAGGACAUAACAUUUACACAAGGAUGUAAAGGAAUGGAGCUGGGCUGGGUUUGGAUCGUUCGAUGGCAACAGUGGUCGACUUGUCAGCGUGUGGUUUGGAUUGUUCCAUGGACGUGGAAUAAUAACAAAAACUCAUGUGGGUAGCAGUAGUCACCUUUCAAAAAAAACUCUCAAUGAAUUCACUUUAGGCUAUGAAAUCAAAUCAAUAUCAGAAGCACCAAGUUUUGAGAAUAAUAUUAUAACACUUUCAUACCAUAACAUAGAUACUCACACACAAGUUGUUUUACUCACUUAUAUUAUAGUUUUUUGUGGCUCAAUUCAACUCCUUUGGUUACAUUUAUGGCAUAUAUUUUGGCAAAAUUAUUUCAGUUAGAUGCAAAUCAAAAGAUGAGCUUGGUAUUUAAGUGAAACUUUCUAUAGUUUUUGGGUAGUUCGUGUCUCCGGUGGACGUGGACCUAUAAAUAAUUCUGUCUCCACCUCCAUGCUUUCUCCGUCUGCUAUUUGUUGCUUCUCUUGUGUUGUUGAUAAGUCCAAUGGUUGCAACCCACACUUGGCCCGCAACCUUGUAUUUUCUUCUAUCAGGAUUUUCUCCUCUUCCUUUAGCCUCUCGAUCUGUUCCCUGAACAGCUGAUUCUUUCUUGUCCUGAUUCUGGUUAAGCUUCGCUCCAGCUGAUUCUCUAACUGCUGUAGCUCAUCAAUGGAACAUGGUUCCAAUUCAUCACCUAGGAGUUUUCUUUUAGAAAUUUCAAGAAGCUCGAUCUUCUUUGCCAGGCUAAACGUAUCUUCCUUCAUAUUCUGCAAGUUUUCUUGAGAUGUCUUGAUGCUGAUUCCUAGAUCCUUGGCUUUCUUCUGAUAGCGCUCUAUUGUCUUAUUAAUACUGCAGCUGGAGAACUCAUAGAGCUUUCCCCUGGGAGAGAAAAUGAUAAGUGCAACUUCAGCAUCGCAGAGAACUGAAAGCUCAAAGGCCUUCUUGAGGAGCCCAUUUCUUCUCUUUGAAAAGGUUACUUGCCUACUGGUUGCGUUUUCUAUUCUCUUCAUCUGAGUCCUUCCUCUCACCAUAUUUGCAUAUACCUGCAGGAGAAAAGAAAUCCAAAGUAUAUUUAAGCAAAAAGGAAGGAAAAUACGCUGGAAAUAGCUCAAGAUGGAAAGAACCAGAAACCAAAUGGUAAAUUUUUUGUUUCUAGGAAUAUGAAGAAACCUAAUAUCAGAGACUACUAUACCAACUAUGCAAGACCCAAAUAAGGUUUCCAAAAAUAGAAAGGCAAAUAACAAAAUUUUGGACAAAUUUGGAAAUGCCUGACAAGAAAACUGAAACCUUUAUGUGCAAGAGUAAUAGAAGAGAGAAUGAGGGGAAAAAAAACAGAAAAUUGCAACUGAAGGGUGCUGAAAUCUUGGAUACCCAGAAAAAAGAAUUGAAAGAUGACAGAGAAACCCUAGAAAGAUAAUGAGAAGAGGAUGAGCAGAAAAAGAUUUUGAUUAAAGAUUACCCUAGCGCAGUGGCUAUAACCCUAGUAGAGGAGCAUAAAUAAAUUGAAAAGAGAAAUAAUAAAGAAAGAACAACAAAUCAAGAACCCAAUCUCUUUCUCCUUUUGGUAAACUGAGAAAAAAAGCACGCCCCUCCCAAAAAAAGAAAACAGGGAAUAUGACUUAAACGGGUGA
RNAcentral lists this unclassified non-coding RNA (1698 nucleotides) under Hevea brasiliensis (rubber tree). The record is from RNAcentral. Lineage: Eukaryota; Viridiplantae; Streptophyta; Magnoliopsida; Malpighiales; Euphorbiaceae.